RNAcentral lists this small RNA (28 nucleotides) under Bombyx mori (domestic silkworm). Its description in RNAcentral is "ovarian small RNA-4033". Lineage: Eukaryota; Metazoa; Arthropoda; Insecta; Lepidoptera; Bombycidae. The record is from RNAcentral.
UUCGAGCCGAUGAAUUGCCAAUGCUAUG